UUGGGUCUAAAGGGUCUGUAGCCGGCCGGAUAAGUCUCUUGAGAAAUCUGGCAGCUUAACUGUCAGGCUUUCAGGAGAUACUGUCUGGCUCGAGGCCGGGAGAGGUGAGAGGUACUUCAGGGGUAGGGGUGAAAUCUUGUAAUCCUUGAAGGACCACCAGUGGCGAAGGCGUCUCACCAGAACGGACCUGACGGCAAGGGACGAAAGCUAGGGGCACGAACCGGAUUAGAUACCCGGGUAGUCCUAGCCGUAAACGAUACUCGCUAGGUGUCGGCCACGGUGCGACCGUUGUCGGUGCCGUAGGGAAGCCGUGAAGCGAGCCACCUGGGAAGUACGGCCGCAAGGCUGAAACUUAAAGGAAUUGGCGGGGGAGCACCACAACGGGUGGAGCUUGCGGUUUAAUUGGAUUCAACGCCGGAAAUCUUACCGGGACCGACAGCAAUAUGAAGGCCAGGCUGAAGACUUUGCCGGAUUAGCUGAGAGGUGGUGCAUGGCCGUCGUCAGUUCGUACUGUGAAGCAUCCUGUUAAGUCAGGCAACGAGCGAGACCCA
Molecule: ribosomal RNA, 551 nt
Filed under: uncultured methanogenic archaeon
Lineage: Archaea; Methanobacteriati; Methanobacteriota
Description: bacterial SSU rRNA
Rfam family: Archaeal small subunit ribosomal RNA
Source: RNAcentral